UAAUUGAGAUGCAGUUCUGUUUUAUAAGCCCCAAGGUUCGGAAAGUGAAGAAUGGCCAAUGUUUAAAAAAUGAGGAUUUUGUUUUGAUUAUCAUGACUGCUGCACAAUGUGAAAUGCUUAAAAUUUAUGGGACCGAUUGCAUCUGUAUAGAUGGAACUCAUGGGAUGAAUAACUAUGACUUCGAACUUAUAACUCUCCUUGUUGUUGAUGAUAUUCGUCAGGGAUUUCCUUGCAGUUUUCUUGUGUCAAAUAGGUCUGAUAAACAAGUUUUAAAAAUAUUUUUUCACUUUGUAAAAUGUCGCCUUGGUACUGCACUUUGCCCAAAUGUCUUCAUGUCAGAUAUGGCAGAAGCUUUCUUCAAUGCAUGGAUUGAAAUAAUGUCUCCACCAAAAUUCAGAUUAUACUGUUCAUGGCACGUUGACCAGGCGUGGCGUAAGAAUUUAUCAAAAAUCAACACCAAAGAAAAGCAAGCUUUUAUUUAUAAGAAUUUAAGAGCUGUCUUAGAAGAAAGGGAUGUCACAACUUUUAAUAUUUUAAUUAACAAGUUAUAUACUAUGUUACUUGAAG
Molecule: long non-coding RNA, 567 nt
Organism: Anthonomus grandis grandis
Lineage: Eukaryota; Metazoa; Arthropoda; Insecta; Coleoptera; Curculionidae
Exons: 3
Source: RefSeq, a predicted model, not a curated record